GGCUCGGUGGUGUAGUUGGUUAUCACGUCAGUCUAACAAGGCACUUGUCUUCGAACACUGAAGGUCGGGAGUUCGAGCCUCCCUUGAGUCA
Molecule: transfer RNA, 91 nt
Organism: Stagonospora sp.
Lineage: Eukaryota; Fungi; Ascomycota; Dothideomycetes; Pleosporales; Massarinaceae
Rfam family: tRNA
About the family: Transfer RNA (tRNA) molecules are approximately 80 nucleotides in length. Their secondary structure includes four short double-helical elements and three loops (D, anti-codon, and T loops).
Source: Rfam